RNAcentral lists this ribosomal RNA (457 nucleotides) under uncultured Rhodoferax sp. RNAcentral's name for it is "bacterial SSU rRNA". It matches the Rfam family "Bacterial small subunit ribosomal RNA", at positions 923 to 1382 of the family's 1533-position model. The record is from RNAcentral. Lineage: Bacteria; Pseudomonadati; Pseudomonadota; Betaproteobacteria; Burkholderiales; Comamonadaceae.
GCACAAGCGGUGGAUGAUGUGGUUUAAUUCGAUGCAACGCGAAAACCUUACCCACCUUUGACAUGUACGGAACCUUUAGAGAUAGAGGGGUGCUCGAAAGAGAGCCGUAACACAGGUGCUGCAUGGCUGUCGUCAGCUCGUGUCGUGAGAUGUUGGGUUAAGUCCCGCAACGAGCGCAACCCUUGUCAUUAGUUGCUACAUUCAGUUGGGCACUCUAAUGAGACUGCCGGUGACAAGCCGGAGGAAGGUGGGGAUGACGUCAAGUCCUCAUGGCCCUUAUAGGUGGGGCUACACACGUCAUACAAUGGCUGGUACAAAGGGUUGCCAACCCGCGAGGGGGAGCCAAUCCCAUAAAGCCAGUCGUAGUCCGGAUCGUAGUCUGCAACUCGACUACGUGAAGUCGGAAUCGCUAGUAAUCGUGGAUCAGAAUGUCACGGUGAAUACGUUCCCGGGUCUU